GGGGUAUUAGUUUAAAAAGAACGGGUGGCUGUUAACCGCUUAGUGUGACGGGAUCACAUACCUC
RNAcentral lists this transfer RNA (64 nucleotides) under Bankia setacea. RNAcentral's name for it is "tRNA-Asn". The record is from RNAcentral. Lineage: Eukaryota; Metazoa; Mollusca; Bivalvia; Myida; Teredinidae.